CUACGGGUUGCUGCAGUGGGGAAUAUUGCACAAUGGGCGCAAGCCUGAUGCAGCAACGCCGCGUGAACGAAGAAGGUCUUCGGAUCGUAAAGUUCUUUUCUUAGGGAAGAAAAAUGACGGUACCUAAGGAAUAAGCACCGGCUAAAUACGUGCCAGCAGCCGCGGUAAUACGUAUGGUGCAAGCGUUAUCCGGAAUCGCUGGGCGUAAAGGGAGCGUAGGCGGUUUUGCAAGUCAGAAGUGAAAGGCUACGGCUCAACCGUGGUAAGCUUUUGAAACUGCAAGACUAGAGUGCAGGAGAGGCAAGUGGAAUUCCUAGUGUAGAGGUGAAAUUCGUAGAUAUUAGGAGGAACACCAGUGGCGAAGGCGACUUGCUGGACUGUAACUGACGCUGAGGCUCGAAAGCGUGGGGAGCGAACAGGAUUAGAUACCCUCGUAGUC
This 439-nucleotide ribosomal RNA is filed under the name uncultured bacterium. RNAcentral's name for it is "partial 16S ribosomal RNA". It matches the Rfam family "Bacterial small subunit ribosomal RNA", at positions 339 to 795 of the family's 1533-position model. The record is from RNAcentral.